CAAAUCGAGAGUGGUUAGGGGAGAGAGGGGGAGGAUGAGAAGGGUGUUUGCGUCUAGAUGCAAAUCCCAUCGCGUCCAAUCCCUAUCCCCCCACCCUUAUUUACGCUUGUUGUGUUUGACAGAGUUAGUGGUGCUUAAUUAUAGA
RNAcentral lists this unclassified non-coding RNA (145 nucleotides) under uncultured fungus. RNAcentral describes it as "sequence contains ITS1, 5.8S rRNA gene". Lineage: Eukaryota; Fungi. The record is from RNAcentral.